This 83-nucleotide transfer RNA is filed under the name Nematostella vectensis (starlet sea anemone). It matches the Rfam family "tRNA". Rfam says of the family: Transfer RNA (tRNA) molecules are approximately 80 nucleotides in length. The record is from Rfam by way of RNAcentral. Lineage: Eukaryota; Metazoa; Cnidaria; Anthozoa; Actiniaria; Edwardsiidae.
ACCAGGAUGGCCGAGUGGUUAAGGCGUUGGACUUAAGUUCCAAUGUACGAAUGUACGCGUGGGUUCGAGCCCCACUCCUGGUA